RNAcentral lists this ribosomal RNA (253 nucleotides) under uncultured bacterium. RNAcentral's name for it is "partial 16S ribosomal RNA". It matches the Rfam family "Bacterial small subunit ribosomal RNA", at positions 524 to 776 of the family's 1533-position model. The record is from RNAcentral.
UACGGAGGAUCCAAGCGUUAUCCGGAAUCAUUGGGUUUAAAGGGUCCGUAGGCGGUUUGGUAAGUCAGUGGUGAAAGCCCAUCGCUCAACGGUGGAACGGCCAUUGAUACUGCUAGACUUGAAUUAUUAGGAAGUAACUAGAAUAUGUAGUGUAGCGGUGAAAUGCUUAGAGAUUACAUGGAAUACCAAUUGCGAAGGCAGGUUACUACUAAUGGAUUGACGCUGAUGGACGAAAGCGUGGGUAGCGAACAGG